Panicum hallii is the source of this 1422-nucleotide long non-coding RNA. RefSeq lists it as uncharacterized. The transcript has 2 exons. The record is from RefSeq and is a predicted model, not a curated record. NCBI's taxonomy places the organism in Eukaryota, Viridiplantae, Streptophyta, Magnoliopsida, Poales, Poaceae.
AAACCCCUCCUCACCUUCCACCGAUACCCUCUCCUCCCUCUAGUUCCCUACCUCUCGCGAGGCCUCCUCAGCGCCGCCGCCCCCCAGGCUGCCGUCUUCCCGGAGGUCCCUCCUCGCUCGCACCACAGAUCCCGUGCGCGGCGGGGUGAGGACCGCGGGCCGGAGGAGGGCGGGCUGCGCGGCGGGGGAGGGGGGCGGGCGGCUCGGCGGGCUGGAGGAGGGCGGGCUGCGCGGCGGGGGGAGGACAACGGGCUGCGUGGCGGGGGAGGAGAGCGGGCGGCACGGUUGGGGAGGAGGGCGGGCGGCGCUGGGAGCGGCUGUAGGGAGGCGGCGGGGCUAAUGAUUAUCUAUCCAUACCACUUAUCAUGUGUUGUACAAAUUGGACUAAUUGAUGUUUAUGUUGUCUGCAAUUUUUCAGGCCAUGCCCGGCUGUAUCACUUUGAAAACUACACCACUUGAGCAUGAGGACUUGCUAAGGAGCAUGUUUGACGCUAUAAGUGUUACAAAUGAGACGGCAUAUGUUCCUGGUCGUGGUGGUAGUGCUGCUGGUGCUGAGACUGAUGGACUGGGAGAGGGUGAACGUGAGGAUGAGAGGGCCACACAAACGGUGGAUGCAGGUGCUAAAAGGUCAGCACCUGUUACUUCAUGACACAUUGGUUGAUCAAUAUGGUUUGAGGGCAAGUAGAGGAAUAUGUACCAAAGAAGUCUUAGGAAUGUUUUUAUGGACAUGUGGUGCACCUCAAUCUUUUAGGCAAGUGAAGAACAGUUUGGUCAUUCACUAGAAACUGUUAGCAGGAAGUUAGAAGAGGGAAGUAUUAUCUCGUUGAUUCCGGGUAUCCUAACAGAAAAGGAUUUUUGGCACCAUACAAGGGACAAAGGUACCAUGUGUCUUUUUUAGCCGAAUGGCAACACGGUUGCCACCCGGCUGGAUCAAAGGAGUUGUUCAACUAUGCACAUUCAUUCCUUAGAGGCAUUGAGCGUUCAUUUGGAGUCUUAAAAAUAAAGUGGCGUAUUCUAUUGAACAUGCCGGCCUAUCCAAUUGAGAAGCAAUCAACAAUUAUCACGGCCUGCGUGGCUCUUCAUAAUUUCAUUAGGGAUAAUGCAGAACAAGACGUAGACUUUGCCACGUCUAUGCCUGAAGUAGAAGUUCAAGUUCAUGGUAACCAAGGUACGACGGGAGAUGGAGUCUUUCUGAAGUAGAAGUUCAAGUUCAUGGUAACCAAGGUACGACAGGAGAUGGAGUCUUUCGGCGGAUGAAUUGAUAUGGGUGCCUUUCGUGGUGCAAUUGCCUCAGCUUUGCGUGGGUGAUUAUCUGUUGUAGUCUAUUUAUCUUGAACUAAUGGGUAUUGUUUGACUUGUAAAACACUAUCAAUGAUUGCCUUGGCUAGUUCUAUGACUUUGAAUGUAUUACUAAUUACUUAA